CCAAAUUGACUGGGACGCCCACAGAUACCUGUGCUCCCUGAUCAAUAAAAAAUCCUCUUACAGAUUACAGCCGGUGGACUCGGACUGGUCAUUGGGGCUUGAGGAUCUCCCUCCUGAGAGAAGAUUCUCUCUGAGAGUCUUACAUAUGGGGGCUCGUCCGGGAUCGGAGAUCCUCUGCCUAGAGACCACCGACCACCCACCGGGAGACUGUUACAGGUCUUCUUUACCACUGAGGAAAGACGGAAUCCUACUAGAGGCCAAAAAGAAUGUUCCAGACAUGGAUAGAAGACCCUCACUCCUGACUGUUGACUUGAAUACCCCUGAAGGAAUAGGUAGAAGCUUUCCCCACCAAGCAAGAGACGGCCUCAAUAGUCAUCAAGAAGAUACUAGAAGAAAUCUUCCACAGGUCUGGAGUGCCCAAGGCUAAAAGACCUACAGGUGAUACAGAAAGAAAUCUGCUCACAGCUGACAGCAGCCUAUGCCCCGGAGACCCCUGAGACAUGUCAUCAGUUCCAGGUCGGAGACUACAGCUACACUGAGCCCAGACACUCGAGCCUCGCUGGAAAGGACCGUACCUGGUGCUGCUGACCACCCUGACAGCCGUCAAUUCUCAGCCCUCACCAGCCGUGUACUAGCUGUUGGGGCUGAGAGCUGGGACCUAGAGGGACUCUCAGAUCUUCAAA
RNAcentral lists this long non-coding RNA (683 nucleotides) under Rattus norvegicus (Norway rat). RNAcentral describes it as "long non-coding RNA NONRATT033918". Lineage: Eukaryota; Metazoa; Chordata; Mammalia; Rodentia; Muridae. The record is from RNAcentral.